Molecule: transfer RNA, 73 nt
Filed under: Pectobacterium phage vB_PcaM_CBB
Lineage: Duplodnaviria; Heunggongvirae; Uroviricota; Caudoviricetes
Description: Pectinobacterium phage vB_PcaM_CBB tRNA-Gln
Rfam family: tRNA
About the family: Transfer RNA (tRNA) molecules are approximately 80 nucleotides in length. Their secondary structure includes four short double-helical elements and three loops (D, anti-codon, and T loops). Further hydrogen bonds mediate the characteristic L-shaped molecular structure. tRNAs have two regions of fundamental functional importance: the anti-codon, which is responsible for specific mRNA codon recognition, and the 3' end, to which the tRNAs corresponding amino acid is attached (by aminoacyl-tRNA synthetases). tRNAs cope with the degeneracy of the genetic code in two manners: having more than one tRNA (with a specific anti-codon) for a particular amino acid; and 'wobble' base-pairing, i.e. permitting non-standard base-pairing at the 3rd anti-codon position.
Source: RNAcentral
GGCGUAUAGUGUAAUUGGUUAGCACACCAGGUUUUGAUCCUGGUAAUCGAGGUUCAAGUCCUUGUAUGCCUGC